Molecule: ribosomal RNA, 532 nt
Rfam family: Bacterial small subunit ribosomal RNA
UAAUACGUAGGUGGCAAGCGUUGUCCGGAAUUAUUGGGCGUAAAGCGCGCGCAGGUGGGAUAUUAAGUCUGGUGUUAAAGUUCGGGGCUCAACCCCGUGAAGCAUUUGGAAACUGAUAUUCUUGAGUGCAGGAGAGGAAAGUGGAAUUCCUAGUGUAGCGGUGAAGUGCGUAGAUAUUAGGAGGAACACCAGUGGCGAAGGCGACUUUCUGGACUGUGUCUGACACUGAGGCGCGAAAGCCAGGGUAGUGAACGGGAUUAGAUACCCCGGUAAUCCUGGCCGUAAACGAUGGGUACUAGGUGUUGGGGGUAUCGACCCCUCCAGUGCCGGAGUUAACGCGAUAAGUACCCCGCCUGGGGAGUACGGCCGCAAGGUUGAAACUCAAGGAAUUGACGGGGGCCCGCACAAGCGGUGGAGUAUGUGGUUUAAUUCGACGCAACGCGAAGAACCUUACCAGGACUUGACAUCGUAUGAUGGUCCUAGAGAUAGGAAGUUCUCCUUCGGGAGACAUAUAGACGGGUGGUGCAUGGCU